This 852-nucleotide ribosomal RNA is filed under the name Triticum aestivum (bread wheat). RNAcentral describes it as "partial small subunit ribosomal RNA". Lineage: Eukaryota; Viridiplantae; Streptophyta; Magnoliopsida; Poales; Poaceae. The record is from RNAcentral.
AUGUCCCACUCUGAUAAUUGUCAGCUAUGUGGCGCUAGAGACUCUUGGCGACAUUCUUUGCUUGAGUGCUCGUCUUCGAGAUGUAUAUGGGCUUUGACCGAUGGGGAUCUUGCUGAACACCUCAUUGCCACUACAAAACCAUCGGCGAAGCAGUGGUUGUUUGUGAUGAUUGAGGCACUCCCACACAAUAAAUUUGUGCUGUUGACAGUUACUCUUUGGGCUACAUGGACAGCCAGGCGAAAGGCGAUCCACGAAUCAAACUUCCAGAGUCCACAUGCCACUUAUAUCUUUGUGCAGCGGUUCAUAUCAGAGUUGGAGGCAAUCAAAAAGGUUCAGAAUAGCAUUGUUUGUGUGGCGCCGGCUAGGUACCCCCAGAGGUGGAAACCUCCAGUAGCAGGUAUGGUCAAAAUCAAUGUCGACAGAGGGCUAUCCCGUGAUGGCGCCACUGGUGCUUCUUCCGCUGUUUGCAGGGAUGACGAAGGCCGGUUCCUAGGAUCCUCGUCAAUGGUGUUUCCUGGAGUUAUAGACCCUGCCUGUUUGGAUGCCUUAGCAUGUCGAGAAGCUCAAGCACUAGCCUUGGAUUUGAAUCUAGGCAAAGUCAUUAUUUCAUGCGACAGCAAAGGAGUAGUGGACGACAUAAAAAAUGAUGCUCGUGGCAUGAACGACACUAUCAUCCGUGAAAUCAGGGAGAACAAAUUGCUUUUUCAGGCUUGUAAUAUUGGUAGAGACACGAACAAAGAAGCUCAUAGUUUGGUAAAAUUUUCAGUUUCGCUUAGUACGGGUCGCCAUUUAUGGCUAGGGUACCCGCAUGAUCCCAUUUGUAUUCCUUUGAACAUCCCCUUUGAUCAGUAA